This is an RNA transcript of Zingiber officinale, 2318 nucleotides long. It is a transcript of the gene named calcium sensing receptor, chloroplastic-like, with no coding region annotated. The transcript is spliced from 6 exons. The record is from RefSeq and is a predicted model, not a curated record. NCBI's taxonomy places the organism in Eukaryota, Viridiplantae, Streptophyta, Magnoliopsida, Zingiberales, Zingiberaceae.
UCGCAGGUGGAAAGAGAGGGUUGUUCUGAGGCAUCAAUUCAUCGCGCCACAAAAAAAGGCACGGCGGAGAGGAUGAUAUCCAUCUCCGCGAUCGAGAUCCACCACUCGAUUGGCUCCUCGUCCCGCGAGAGCGAUGCUCCAAUCCUCUUGAAUCUUAAUUGCUGGCAUCUGCCGAUCAGGCAAGUGAGGAAGAGGCGGAGAAGAUGGCGAUGGUUGUGUUCCGGGCUGCUGCUUCGGCGACGACGAUCGCGACCGCCGGUCCUCGAGCUCCCAUCCCCAAACCACAGGAGCAGCCGAUGAAGAUUGAUCAUCGACGGCACUCUCAUCCUCGGCAGCGGACUCCUGCCGCGCUCUCCUUUGUCGCCGUCCUCUCCGCCACCGCUACCGGCGAAGCCAAGGCUUUCUCCGAAGACAUAAUCUCUUCUCUCGCCAAGGCGGAGGAUGCGGUUGAUGCUGCUUCCACAGUUUGGGGCUUCUCGCUUGACGUGUUCAAGACGUUGAUAGAUACUCUAAAGCCGGGGGUGGAUGCUGCCCUGCCAAUCUUGCAAAGCGCGAGCAAUGAGGCACUGAGGGCAGCCUCUCCGGUUGUUUCUGACGCUUCCGAGCAAGCCAAAGAGGCUCUUCUGAGCGCCGGAGUUGAUCCCAGCCCUGUUUUCUCUGCCGCUCAGGUUGUUUCCUUGCUAAUUCUCAACCUAUGAGUCUUUGCCCAUGUGUUCCCUUUAUUUAACUCAAUUUGUUAGACAAGUUUUUGCUUGGUCGUCGAUCAUCAACUAUAUCCAAGUAUGUGAAUAUGAAAAGGAUUGGAGCAAAAUUCAAGAAACAACCCUGCAAAAUCGCACUUUGAAGACCAAGUUAGGUUCUAGCUGAAGACUUAGAAUUUCAGGUCAAAGCUUGCACACUUUUUGUGAGAAGGUAUUGCCCAAAAAUUUAUAAGGUUGUGGAGACUAUGGUUCAAGUUUCUGGUCUGCUAGUGUAGUUAAUUUGCAAUAUGAUUGAAGUUUGCUUUGAUGCCUAGUCGAUCAUCACUUUAGUUGGGGAUACUAUGUUAUGAAGAGAGAUCUGAAUCUGAUAGAUGAUGGUUGACCUUGGCAUAAUCAAACUUGUCGCCCUGUGGUAGUUCCAUGUUGAUGUGAACUCAAAAUGGCUUUGGACCAGCAUGUACAAAAUGGCAUUAUGAUGUAGAGUAGGGACCUUCUUGAUUGGGCAUCAAAAAGGUCUGAUCGUCUUGACCAAGAUCUUUUGUUCGAUGAGUAAGGCCCUUUUCAGUUGGAGGUCAAGUUUGAGACAAUUGCAGGUGCAGCACAACAAACAAUAAAAAUCAUCGAAGUAGCAAAACCCAUAGCCUCAGCAACUGCAAAGACAAUCACAUCCUCCGAUCCCUCGACCCUGGUUGUUACUACCGGAGCAUUGUUUGUCGGAUACCUUCUUUUACCACCUAUUUGGUCGGCACUCCGUGGCUACCAAGGCAGUCUCAGUGCUCCUCAGACACUAGACCUGAUCUCUGCACAAGAUUAUGUACUGAUCGACAUAAGAUCAGAGAAAGACAAGAACAGAGCAGGUGUUCCUAGCCUACCCUCGAGUGCCAAGAACAAGAUCAUCUCGGUGCCCUUGGAGGAGCUCCCGAGCAAGAUCAAAGGGCAGGUGAGGAGCCCCAAGAAAGUCCAAGCUGAUUUAGUGGCGAUGAAGAUUUCCUACCUCAAGAGACUCAACAAAGGAUCCAACAUAGUCAUCCUUGACUCUUACUGUGAUAUGGCCAAAACUGUGGCGAGGACGCUCACCGAGCUCGGCUUCAAGAACAGCUGGGUGGUGGAGGAUGGGUUCUCCGGAGGCAGAGGUUGGGUGCAGAGUAGAUUGGGGUCGGAUUCGUACAAUGUGUCGCUCGUCGAGGUUCUUUCUCCGUCGAGGGUGAUCCCUGCCACAGCAAUUCGAUUCGGCACCGCUACUAGUGCUGGACCAGCACCAGCAGCUCCUCAGUCGACUAGGAAACUUCUUCCAGGAAGAAGUGUCGAUAACUGAACGUUCUUGCAGUCUGUCAAUUCUUUUGUAAAAGGAAGCUUUCACAAUUUGUUCAUCCUCACUUGUGUGCUAAUGGGUACGAGUGCAACCGAGCCCGUUCACCCCCGUUGCAAGUAAGAUCAAAACGGGUGCGACCCAAAUUUCAGUCUCUAACCGUUGUAUUCACUGAAAGAUCACCAUACUCAAUGUGGUGCAACGGUUAAGGUGUAACGGUGCUAAAGGAAAUGUUGUGGUUUGAUUCUCAUGAAUAUGUACUGUACUAAAUUUAGUGGAAAAAUUUGGAUAGACGACGAUGGACCGAA